UACGUAGGGUGCAAGCGUUAAUCGGAAUUACUGGGCGUAAAGCGUGCGCAGGCGGUUUUGUAAGACAGGCGUGAAAUCCCCGGGCUUAACCUGGGAAUGGCGCUUGUGACUGCAAAGCUGGAGUGCGGCAGAGGGGGAUGGAAUUCCGCGUGUAGCAGUGAAAUGCGUAGAUAUGCGGAGGAACACCGAUGGCGAAGGCAAUCCCCUGGGCCUGCACUGACGCUCAUGUACGAAAGCGUGGGGAGCAAACAGG
This 253-nucleotide ribosomal RNA is filed under the name uncultured bacterium. RNAcentral's name for it is "partial 16S ribosomal RNA". It matches the Rfam family "Bacterial small subunit ribosomal RNA", at positions 524 to 776 of the family's 1533-position model. The record is from RNAcentral.